CUUAUUGCCAACAAGUACCCAUAAGGAGAAUUGAUUAAAAAAUUGAAAGAUAUUUUUUGUAUUCUAAACAGGUUGCCUUUCUCUGGAAGAGAAAGAAUAUUUCUGCCCUUUACUGGUAGAAUCUCACUCUGUAAUGGGAACAAAUCCAGGAGACAACAGCUAGCAGAAGCAAUUUUUGUGAGGUCCCUUCUGAGAGCAUUUCCCACACGACUCUGUCAAGGGAAUGCAGCUGCAGUUGUUCAUUGCUCUUAAAUACAGUGGGGAUUGCACUUUGUGACUAGAAAGAUGACUACACAAGAACACUGGCAACAGAUUUGUUUUGAAUCCUGCUCUGCAAAUGAUCUCUGUAAGGUGAAAUUGCAUUUCAUUGAAAAAUAGUGUCAUGGAUACAGGAGUACAGUUUGUCUUUAUCAUGUUCUUUUUUUAUGUGAAACUUGAUAAACUUGGAAGUGAGUAUUUUCAUACACAUGUCAACAAUAUUAAGUGGAAUGCAAUUUCUUUUCAGUAAAAUGCUGUGGGUGCUGGAUUUUAGGAAGUAAAAGAUACGAUCUCAAAAAGAGGGCUUCAAGAACCUCAAGAUGUUAUCUAGCCCAUGCUCCUAUUUUAGAUCCACUGUGCCUUAGCAUUGUUGAGAGAGGUUUUGCCUUGCUUUGCUCUCAGAAACAUCUAAUCACGAUAGUUACACAACCUCUUAUGACAUCUGUUUGAUUACUUGAUGACGUCUGUUUGAUCCCUACACCUAGAGUGGACUGGCCUAAUUGAAGAUUUCCUCUGAUGCCUUGCAGAAAGGCCUAUGCAGUUAGGAGACGUGCUGCAGCCUACAAGGCGGCCACUGCCCUACACUGAGCAGAAAUAUCUCAAAGCCCCUAUCUGAUAAUGUAGCCUCCAUGAGUUUCUGGGAAUUAUCAGUGAAUGCUGGGCAGAUCCUCAUCUUACAAAGCAAAACUUCUACAGCUUAAUCCGUCCAGAAUGCCAGCACCCCAUUUAUAUACUAAUGUUCUAUCUUUGCAAAGACAUAACACAAACAGUGUACUGCUUGCAACGCAAGCCACCCACCAUGUUACACAAAAAGAGACAAAGCUGAUGGUAAAACCAUUUAAAUAAUCAUGUACCAUUUUUAAAGAAAUUGAGACUCAGACUGUGGUUUGAAGGACUGAAAAUUAAAAAAAAAAAAAAUUGCAUGUAAAAUAAACAAAAAAAUAGAACUGACCAUAAACUUGAGAUGAAAUACUCUCCUAUAUUUGUCUUUUUGAUUUCUGCAUAUUUCUCUGCAUCACCUACAAUCCUAACAGAAUAUUCUUUUGGAAAGCUGGAUGUAUGUAUUUCAUCACUUUCCUCAAGUAACUUCUUUAUUCUCUAGAUUCUUUCUGUCUGCUCUACAUGCUG
Anas platyrhynchos (mallard) is the source of this 1386-nucleotide long non-coding RNA. RefSeq lists it as uncharacterized. Lineage: Eukaryota; Metazoa; Chordata; Aves; Anseriformes; Anatidae. The record is from RefSeq and is a predicted model, not a curated record.